Molecule: long non-coding RNA, 965 nt
Organism: Lucilia sericata (common green bottle fly)
Lineage: Eukaryota; Metazoa; Arthropoda; Insecta; Diptera; Calliphoridae
Exons: 3
Source: RefSeq, a predicted model, not a curated record
ACUUUUCAGUCUUCUUUCUAUACUUGUUCCGUGGAGUCGCAAAAAUUCCUAUAGUUGUUCGAAAUAAAUAACAAAAAGGCAAAUAAUAAAAAGAAAAAAUAAAUAUCAGUGUAAAAAUUAAAAAAAGCUAAUUACCUAUAUCUAAAGCAUUCAAUUACAAAAAAGAAGUUAGUAGUUUUUGUUAAAGUUUUAGUGAAAAAAGUGAGUGUUUAAUUGGUUUAUUUUACAAGAUUUUGUAAGAAAAUUAUAACAAAAAGAAGUCCCGCGGCUGUUAACAUCUUUUGGAGUAACAACAAUAAAAACAAAAACAACAACUUCAGCAUACCCAUACAAAAGCAAGGAUUAUAAACAAAACAAAAAACGAGAAAAAAAAACAUCAACAGCAAAGACAACAACAACUUUGUAAUAAAAAAAGAUCUUUUUGUCAGCCCCCAAAAUCAACAGGAGAAUUAAAUACUAUUACUGCAACAACAACAACAACAGCGUUAUAAAAAGUAAAAGAACAAAAACAUAUAUAAACAUCAAAACAAAACCCAAAAAAAGAAAAAGUCAAUUGCAAAAACAAAAAUAACAAUAAGAACAAGAGAAGUAGUAAUUACAGCAAAUAAAAAUCAUUUGCUUCGUUUCGUUUUUCUGGACAAUUCGUUCGGUGUGUUAUUGGAAAACUUAUUAGAUUUAUUUCUUAAUUAAAUUAAAGAAAAAAACAAUUUAAAUCACAGUUUCUACUUAAAUUAGUAAAAAAUCAAACAAAAGAAAAAUGAAUAAAACCUGUGCUCGCUGCCAAAAGGUGGUUUAUCCCAUUGAGGAACUUAAGUGUCUGGAUAAGACAUGGCAUAAUAACCUGCUUCAAAUGUACAGAAUGUGGAAUGACAUUGAAUAUGAAAACAUAUAAAGGAUUAAUAAAUUACCAUAUUGUUGAAGCGUAAGUACUGAAAUGAUUUACAAAUACAAAGAAAUUUUAAAUA